GGGCGAGGCGGCGGUGCGCAAGAGCGCACGCACAAGGUGUGGGCUAAUGUAGACUGGAACCUUGGGAUCCAUUACAUCUUCACAUCAGUCACUUCCACAUCAGUCACUUCAUCCAUGUGGGGUCACCGGGGAGACUCCUAACCAGUUGGUCAGACUGAUGAGAAUAAGAGACUGCUGCAUGCUCAGCCGUGAACACUCCACAGCUCAGAGACCAUUUCAGAAGAGGAGGCCCCACGGACACUCCACAGCUCAGAGACCACCACAGAAGAGGAGGCCCCACGGACUCUCCACAGCUCAGAGACCACCACAGAAGAGGAGGCCUGAGGAAGGGGUGGUGAGGAAGGGGUGGUGAAGAAGAGGUGGUACUGCUGCUGUCAAAUGCUGACUUCCGGGCAUGUUGUGGUCAUGGCCUGUUUGAACGCAGAGUGUUGGGCUUCCCAGUACUAGAUCUGCUUAAGAUUGAGCUCAUCCUGUCAGAGAACAAGGAGAGGUUUGGGAGGCCCUGCCCCUCCCUGAAGACUUCCAGCAAUUAAAGUUUAAUAGGUGAAGGAGAGAAAUUUUCUUUAGUGAUGCAAGCUACUGAAUAAGCACACAUGCUCCUAUGCGGAGUCCUCCCUUGAAUCCAGAGUGAUGGAGCAGCUCAUCUGGAAUCCCAGGACCCAGGAGCUGGAGGCAAGAAGAUUAGGACUUGGGAUGAGUUGGAGACUGGCUCAGCAUGCAGAAGACCCAGUCUCUUUGGGAAUACUUUUUUGACAUAACAGAGACUGAACCUAGGACAUCAUGCAU
Mastomys coucha (southern multimammate mouse) is the source of this 786-nucleotide long non-coding RNA. RefSeq lists it as uncharacterized. NCBI's taxonomy places the organism in Eukaryota, Metazoa, Chordata, Mammalia, Rodentia, Muridae. The transcript has 4 exons. The record is from RefSeq and is a predicted model, not a curated record.